Molecule: ribosomal RNA, 492 nt
Filed under: uncultured bacterium
Lineage: Bacteria
Description: partial 16S ribosomal RNA
Rfam family: Bacterial small subunit ribosomal RNA
Source: RNAcentral
AGUGAACGCUGGCGGUAGGCCUAACACAUGCAAGUCGAACGGCAGCACAGUAAGAGCUUGCUCUUACGGGUGGCGAGUGGCGGACGGGUGAGGAAUACAUCGGAAUCUACUUUUUCGUGGGGGAUAACGUAGGGAAACUUACGCUAAUACCGCAUACGACCUACGGGUGAAAGCAGGGGAUCUUCGGACCUUGCGCGAUUGAAUGAGCCGAUGUCGGAUUAGCUAGUUGGCGGGGUAAAGGCCCACCAAGGCGACGAUCCGUAGCUGGUCUGAGAGGAUGAUCAGCCACACUGGAACUGAGACACGGUCCAGACUCCUACGGGAGGCAGCAGUGGGGAAUAUUGGACAAUGGGCGCAAGCCUGAUCCAGCCAUACCGCGUGGGUGAAGAAGGCCUUCGGGUUGUAAAGCCCUUUUGUUGGGAAAGAAAAGCAGCAGGUUAAUACCUCGCUGUUAUGACGGUACCCAAAGAAUAAGCACCGGCUAACUUCGUG